This 573-nucleotide ribosomal RNA is filed under the name Shewanella sp. RNAcentral describes it as "bacterial SSU rRNA". It matches the Rfam family "Bacterial small subunit ribosomal RNA", at positions 356 to 921 of the family's 1533-position model. The record is from RNAcentral. Lineage: Bacteria; Pseudomonadati; Pseudomonadota; Gammaproteobacteria; Alteromonadales; Shewanellaceae.
UGGGGAUAUUGCACAAUGGGGGAAACCCUGAUGCAGCCAUGCCGCGUGUGUGAAGAAGGCCUUCGGGUUGUAAAGCACUUUCAGUAGGGAGGAAAGGGUGAGUCUUAAUACGGCUCAUCUGUGACGUUACCUACAGAAGAAGGACCGGCUAACUCCGUGCCAGCAGCCGCGGUAAUACGGAGGGUCCGAGCGUUAAUCGGAAUUACUGGGCGUAAAGCGUGCGCAGGCGGUUUGUUAAGCGAGAUGUGAAAGCCCCGGGCUCAACCUGGGAAUUGCAUUUCGAACUGGCGAACUAGAGUCUUGUAGAGGGGGGUAGAAUUCCAGGUGUAGCGGUGAAAUGCGUAGAGAUCUGGAGGAAUACCGGUGGCGAAGGCGGCCCCCUGGACAAAGACUGACGCUCAGGCACGAAAGCGUGGGGAGCAAACAGGAUUAGAUACCCUGGUAGUCCACGCCGUAAACGAUGUCUACUCGGAGUUUGGUGUCUUGAACACUGGGCUCUCAAGCUAACGCAUUAAGUAGACCGCCUGGGGAGUACGGCCGCAAGGUUAAAACUCAAAUGAAUUGACGGGGCCC